ACAAUCUAACUUAAAUGUGACAGCCACUUGUAUGCAAAGACUUAGAUCAUGUUGACUGUGUCAAGUCUUCCAUCAAAUGAAGGCGUUGCUUUUCAGUCAUCAAAGCAGUGUUAUCCGCAUUUAACCAUCUCUAACUAGCAACCACAUAGUAUUGAACUAGUUUGGCUAAGAAGAAGAAGAAGAAGAAGAAGAAGAAGAAGAAGAAGAAGAAGAAAGAAUGGAGAGAAAUUGGUUGUUGUCUUAUUUGGCAAUUAUCAUAGUUAUGGCUGCUGCGUCUACUUCCAUUUCUGGUAUUCAUCUCAACUUGUAUCAGAUACAUUAGAUGGUGUGAUGUUUUAGUUUUGUCUUAAUGUUCUGAUGCAGAUAGUGGCUCCGCUUCUCUCGCUUCUACAACCAGCCAUCUGCUUCAGCUUGAUCUAUUAAGUUUGAAUUCCUGAAUUAUAAUACCCAGCAAAUCGUUGCUGUUGUGCAACGUUCAAGAAAUUCGCAUGCCCUUAUGCAAAACAGAUCAAUGAUUUUAGAACCGAUUGUGCUUCCACCAUGUUCAGCUACAUCAACCUUUACGGCAAAUAUCCGCCUGGUCUGUUCGCUGCGGAGUGCCGAGAAGGGAAGCAAGGUCUCAAAUGCCCUAAAUCUGCCCCCACCCGCUAAAAAGCUCCAC
This is a long non-coding RNA of Gossypium arboreum, 661 nucleotides long. RefSeq lists it as uncharacterized. The record is from RefSeq and is a predicted model, not a curated record. Lineage: Eukaryota; Viridiplantae; Streptophyta; Magnoliopsida; Malvales; Malvaceae. The transcript has 2 exons.